This 510-nucleotide ribosomal RNA is filed under the name uncultured bacterium. RNAcentral describes it as "partial 16S ribosomal RNA". It matches the Rfam family "Bacterial small subunit ribosomal RNA", at positions 28 to 507 of the family's 1533-position model. The record is from RNAcentral.
GACGAACGCUGGCGGCGUGCUUAACACAUGCAAGUCGAACGAAGAGCGAUGGAAGCUUGCUUCUAUCAAUCUUAGUGGCGAACGGGUGAGUAACGCGUAAUCAACCUGCCCUUCAGAGGGGGACAACAGUUGGAAACGACUGCUAAUACCGCAUACGAUCUAAUCUCGGCAUCGAGGAUAGAUGAAAGGUGGCCUCUACAUGUAAGCUAUCACUGAAGGAGGGGAUUGCGUCUGAUUAGCUAGUUGGAGGGGUAACGGCCCACCAAGGCGAUGAUCAGUAGCCGGUCUGAGAGGAUGAACGGCCACAUUGGGACUGAGACACGGCCCAGACUCCUACGGGAGGCAGCAGUGGGGAAUCUUCCGCAAUGGACGAAAGUCUGACGGAGCAACGCCGCGGGAGUGAUGACGGCCUUCGGGUUGUAAAGCUCUGUUAAUCGGGACGAAAGGCCUUCUUGCGAAUAGGGAGAAGGAUUGACGGUACCGGAAGAGAAAGCCACGGCUAACUACGUG